Molecule: transfer RNA, 67 nt
Filed under: Gekko swinhonis (Peking gecko)
Lineage: Eukaryota; Metazoa; Chordata; Lepidosauria; Squamata; Gekkonidae
Description: tRNA-Trp
Rfam family: tRNA
About the family: Transfer RNA (tRNA) molecules are approximately 80 nucleotides in length. Their secondary structure includes four short double-helical elements and three loops (D, anti-codon, and T loops).
Source: RNAcentral
AGAAAUUUAGGUUACCGAAACCAAGGGCCUUCAAAGCCCUAAACGGGAAGUUCAUUCCCAAUUUCUG